AUCCCGCCCCCCCCAGGCAAGUCCAACCUGAUGGACGCCAUCAGCUUCGUGCUGGGUGAGAAGACGUCCAACCUGCGUGUGAAGGCGCUGCGCGACCUCAUCCAUGGGGCUCCCGUGGGGAAACCGGCCGCCAACCGGGCCUGCGUCACCAUGGUGUACGCCCAGGACGGCGGCACCGAGCGCACCUUCGCCCGCCUCAUCGUCGGUACGGGGAUUUUGGGGCGAAAUCCGGGGAUUUUGGGCAAAAAUGGGCGGGAUUUGGGGGGGAUUUGGGGUGUAGUAGAGUCAACAGGAGUGUGGAGUGAAGGUCUGAUCUGAGAAGGGCCCUUUCGCUUGUGUCACUGUCAUUGCGUUGGGGACACACGGGGGACAGCCAGGUGUCUGUUUUGGGGCUGGGUUUUGGGGUGAAAUCGGGCGAUUUUGGGCAAAAAUGGGCGGAAUCUGGGGGGAUUUGAGCGUAAGUAGAGUCGGUAGGAGCGUGGGGUGGAGGUCUGAUGUGGGCAGGGCAGCUUCAGUGGUGACACUGUCAUUGUGCUGGGGACACAUUGGGGACAGCCAGGUGUCUGGUUUGGGGUUCGGUUUUGGGGCGAAAUCAGGCGAUUUUGGGCAAAAAUGGGCGGAAUUUGGGGGGAUUUAGGGUGUAGGGGGGUCCGUGGGGGUGUGGGGUGGAGAUGUGGGUUUGUUCGGUUGUGUCGCUGUCAUUGGGUUAGGGACACAUUGGGGACAAAUUCGUAUGACCACAGUGAGCCUCUGGGGCUGGGUUUUGGGGUGAAAUUGGGCAAUUUUGGGCAAAAAUGGGCGGAAUUUGGGGGCUUUGGGGCGUGGGAGAGUCAAUGGGAAAAUGGGGUGGAGGUGUGGGCUCCUGCGGUUGUGUCACUGUGAGCGGAUUGGGGACACAGUGGAGACACAUGGGGGACAACCAAGUGUCCGCUUUGGGGCUGGGUUUUGGGGCAAAAUCGGGCAAUUUUGGGCAAAAAAUGGGUGGAAUUUGGGGGGAUUUGGGGUGUGUGGGUCUCCGUGGGGUUGUGGGGUGGAGGUGUGGGNCCCAUUGUCCUCAUGUCCCCAUUGUCUCCAUGACCCCAAUGUCCCCAUUGUCCCCAUUGACUCCAUUGACCCUCAUUGACCCCCAUUGUCCCCAUUGUCCCCAGUGUCCCCAUUGUCCCCCAGUGUCCCCAUUGACCCCCAUUGUCCCCAGUGUCCCCAUGUCCCCAUUGUCCCCAUGACCCCAAUGUCCCCAUUGUCCCCAUUGUCCCCAUUGACCCCAUUGUCCCCAAUGUCCUCAUUGACCCCAAUGCCCCCCACUGACCCCACUGUCCCCAUUGUCCCCAUGACCCCAUUGUCCCCAUUGUCCCCAUUGUCCCCCAAUGUCCCCAUUGUCUCCAUGUCUCCCCAUUGACCCCCACUGACCCCCAUUGUCCCCAUUGACCCCAUUGUCCCCCAUUGACCCCAUGACCCCAAUGUCCCCAUUGUCCCCAUUGUCCCCAUGUUCCCAUUGUCCCCGUUGUCCCCAUGUCCCCAUUGACUCCAUUGUCCCCGUUGUCCCCAUGUCCCCGUUGUCCCCAUGUCCCCAAUGUCCUCAUUGACUCCAAUGCCCCCCACUGACCCCAGCGUCCCCAUUGACCCCAUGACCCCAAUGUCCCUCAUUGUCCCCAUUGUCCCCCAUUGUCCCUCAGUAUUCAGACCCCAUCCCUCCUGUCCCCGUUGCCAUAGCGACGCUCCGCGUCCUCGUUGCCAUGGCCACGCCCCCACGCCGCGCCGUUCCCACGGCGACGCCCCGCCCUAUGCAAAUAACCCAACGCCUCCCAACCAAUCCCGGCGCGCGGCGGGCGGUCCCCGAAGCUCAGCCAAUCGCCGAGCAGUAGGCGGGACAACCGGAAGCGCGACAGCGGUAUAAACCAAUCAGCGCCGGCGGCGGCCGGAAGUCCGCUGGUCGCUCUCGGCCGCCGUAGCCGCGGAGUUUCCCGCCCUCCGCGUUCCCUCAGCGCGGCAGCGCCGCGGUUUUUUUUCCCCUUUUUUCCCCUUUUUCCCCCCGUUUUUCACCCCCUUUUUGACCCCGUUUGCUCGCCGCCGUCGCUGCCGCCGCCAUGGGCUUCCUCAAGUUGAUCGAGAUCGAGAACUUCAAAUCGUACAAAGGCCGUCAGAUCAUCGGGCCCUUCCGCCGCUUCACCGCCAUCAUCGGCCCCAACGGCUCCGGUGAGGCCGCGGCGACCCCCGCAUCCCAUAAUACCCCGGGAUGAGGCCGCCA
Numida meleagris (helmeted guineafowl) is the source of this 2245-nucleotide long non-coding RNA. NCBI's taxonomy places the organism in Eukaryota, Metazoa, Chordata, Aves, Galliformes, Numididae. The record is from Ensembl.